UACGGGGGGAGCAAGCGUUGUUCGGAUUUACUGGGCGUAAAGGGCGCGUAGGCGGUCAGCACAAGUCAGUUGUGAAAUCUCCGGGCUUAACUCGGAAAGGUCAACUGAUACUGUGCGACUAGAGUGCAGAAGGGGCAACUGGAAUUCUCGGUGUAGCGGUGAAAUGCGCAGAUAUCAGGAGGAACACCGGUGGCGAAGGCGGGUCUCUGGGCCGAUACUGACACUGAGGAGCGAAAGCGUGGGGAGCGAACAGG
Molecule: ribosomal RNA, 254 nt
Filed under: uncultured bacterium
Lineage: Bacteria
Description: partial 16S ribosomal RNA
Rfam family: Bacterial small subunit ribosomal RNA
Source: RNAcentral